ACAUAUUAACAGUUAAACAAUCUUAAUAUCAAAGUUGUACAAAUGAAAAAAAAAAAAAAACAGAGAGAAACAUACAUGAGCUAUUUAUCUUGCAUAUAGUCCAAGUAUUCACCAGGUCCCAAUUAUGCCUAUAUCCCCCAAUCAACAUAUAGUCCAAGAUUGUAUUGAAACCAUUUGAAUUAGUUACACUAGUACGUACUACCGUUUCAUACCAAAACCCAAACAAAAAAAAUCAAAUAGAAGUAAAAAACUUAAACUUCCUUUCUUGAGCAAAUGAAACAUAGGCAAAUGACGGUAAAAACAAACGAAUAAAAUCAAAAUUGAAUUCAAGUAUCUAAAUUUAAUCAUGCCCAGAUCAAGAAUCUCAGGGAACUUGCAUCAAACUGGAGCCAAACCCAUCUUCUUGUGCACACUAUAACAUACACUACACCUCUCUCCCACAAGAAUUUUAAAAAAAAAAUACACAGCAAGAGACUCUGAAGCAUACUAAGUUCCCAAAAUCAAAAAAAAAAUAUAUAUAUAAAAAAGAAGCAAGAUUAUAACAAGUCAAGUGGGAGUGUAAGUCAUGAGAGUUACUUCUUUUAUACUAUCAAUUGCCAUUCCAAGUUGAAUAUCAACACCCUAGUGAAGGGUAGAGAACGGAGGUUAUUUUAUAAAAUAUGAAGUUAUUGAUAAAGAGUGAAUUUCAUUCCCCAAAUAUAAAUGCCUGAAAAUAACUUUCUAAACUCUGACAGAUGUUCAAAGCCCAAUCUCAGAACCCUAUCCCAAAUGAACCCACCUCCCUCAAAGAUAUAAUUAUUCGUUCCAUCCACACAACCCACAAAGAUGCUAUCAUAUCACAUCUUCCCAAUACAGUUCCCUUCUUUGUGGCCAGCAAAGAGCUUAUAUUUCUCUGCCAACAAUGCAUUACAUGAAGCUGGGUUAUCUGAGUACACAUUUUACUUCCCGGUCACCAUAUUGAUGUUAUAGUCAAAUAUAAGUCAAGUCAGCAUAUUAGUGAGGUCGAGUUAAAGUAACUCCAAGAUUCUUGAUGUACAAGGCAUAAGACUAAACAAUCAAUUUCACUUCCCCUGAGAAACAUAACUUACAAGAAUUGAAGAAAAAACAAACUCAAUAUUAA
Molecule: long non-coding RNA, 1120 nt
Organism: Rosa rugosa (rugosa rose)
Lineage: Eukaryota; Viridiplantae; Streptophyta; Magnoliopsida; Rosales; Rosaceae
Exons: 2
Source: RefSeq, a predicted model, not a curated record